This 636-nucleotide small RNA is filed under the name Pyricularia oryzae. Its description in RNAcentral is "Magnaporthe oryzae sRNA M_BR32_EuGene_00052371". The record is from RNAcentral. Lineage: Eukaryota; Fungi; Ascomycota; Sordariomycetes; Magnaporthales; Pyriculariaceae.
AUAUAUAUAUAUAUAUAUAUAUAUAUAUAUAUUCGCACGCGGUUUUUGGAUUUUAAAAACAAUUAUAUUAUAUAUAGUUAAUUUUUAAAAUAUAAACGUGGUAUUUUGAUUUAUAUUUAAUAUAAUUUAAUUGAUAAUUUUGGAAUUGGCGGUAAAAUAUUAUUAUAUAUUGCAAAAUUGUUUUUAUUUCAACUUACUUACUGGUAUUAUUUGGAUUAUAACGGCGUUAUUCCAAAUAAUUAAUAUAAUUUGUAAUAUUAAAUUUUUACCGUAAUUUCUUUUCGCGCACAAAAUUAUAUUUGCUGAAUUAUAAAAAACACGGUAAAUGUAAUAUAUUAAAUCGCGGUGCGGUAUUAAUGCGGAAACGGUAAAAAAUUUAUAAUCAUUAAAAAAAUAUAUAAUAAUUAUUAAAACAAAUUUAUAUUAUAAUAUUAUAUUAUUUAAUAUUUUGCUUUGGAUAUAUAUUUGCGGAAAUAUAUAUAAAAUGGAUCGGACGCUUGGUCGAACGGGUGGCCAAUUUGGGGUUAUUUGGAAUUACUACAAUUUAAUAGAAAUAAAAUAUAAAUAAAUGGUUAUUUAGUUAUAAUAUAUAUAUAAUUUGAUAAAAAGAAUAAAAAAUUUGAAAAAAUAAUAAAU